Molecule: non-coding RNA, 272 nt
Organism: Parasteatoda tepidariorum (common house spider)
Lineage: Eukaryota; Metazoa; Arthropoda; Arachnida; Araneae; Theridiidae
Source: RefSeq, a predicted model, not a curated record
AUAAAACGUUCAUCAGUCAACUUAAAUUAUAUUACACAAAAGUAUAAAAACAUAUGCCAUUGUAUCUGCAGCAAAUUUUAUAUUUUUAAUGGCAUUUCCUAUUUUCUUGCAGGAUCCAAGAAUCUACCUUAAAAUAGAUGUUUGGUACUCCACUAUCUGAAGUUUAUGCUAUAUUAAGAAAUCUAUUCCUUGCAGGAGAAUGUCGGCUAUCAUUAUCAGAUUUAGAUGGGCCUUGCAUUGCUGAUCUAAUUGCCAUGAGGAUUGUAGUCUUC